Molecule: ribosomal RNA, 768 nt
Filed under: Vibrio sp.
Lineage: Bacteria; Pseudomonadati; Pseudomonadota; Gammaproteobacteria; Vibrionales; Vibrionaceae
Description: bacterial SSU rRNA
Rfam family: Bacterial small subunit ribosomal RNA
Source: RNAcentral
AUGGAGCCUACCAUGCAGUCGAGCGGAAACGAGUUAUCUGAACCUUCGGGGAACGAUAACGGCGUCGAGCGGCGGACGGGUGAGUAAUGCCUGGGAAAUUGCCCUGAUGUGGGGGAUAACCAUUGGAAACGAUGGCUAAUACCGCAUAAUAGCUUCGGCUCAAAGAGGGGGACCUUCGGGCCUCUCGCGUCAGGAUAUGCCCAGGUGGGAUUAGCUAGUUGGUGAGGUAAGGGCUCACCAAGGCGACGAUCCCUAGCUGGUCUGAGAGGAUGAUCAGCCACACUGGAACUGAGACACGGUCCAGACUCCUACGGGAGGCAGCAGUGGGGAAUAUUGCACAAUGGGCGCAAGCCUGAUGCAGCCAUGCCGCGUGUAUGAAGAAGGCCUUCGGGUUGUAAAGUACUUUCAGCAGUGAGGAAGGCGGGUACGUUAAUAGCGUGCUCGUUUGACGUUAGCUGCAGAAGAAGCACCGGCUAACUCCGUGCCAGCAGCCGCGGUAAUACGGAGGGUGCGAGCGUUAAUCGGAAUUACUGGGCGUAAAGCGCAUGCAGGUGGUUUGUUAAGUCAGAUGUGAAAGCCCGGGGCUCAACCUCGGAAUUGCAUUUGAAACUGGCAGACUAGAGUACUGUAGAGGGGGGUAGAAUUUCAGGUGUAGCGGUGAAAUGCGUAGAGAUCUGAAGGAAUACCGGUGGCGAAGGCGGCCCCCUGGACAGAUACUGACACUCAGAUGCGAAAGCGUGGGGAGCAAACAGGAUUAGAUCCCUGGGU